RNAcentral lists this ribosomal RNA (253 nucleotides) under uncultured bacterium. RNAcentral's name for it is "partial 16S ribosomal RNA". It matches the Rfam family "Bacterial small subunit ribosomal RNA", at positions 524 to 776 of the family's 1533-position model. The record is from RNAcentral.
UACGGGGGGAGCAAGCGUUGUUCGGAUUUACUGGGCGUAAAGGGCGCGUAGGCGGUCGUGACAAGUCACUUGUGAAAUCUCCGGGCUUAACUCGGAACGGUCAAGUGAUACUGUCGGACUAGAGUACAGAAGGGGCAACUGGAAUUCUCGGUGUAGCGGUGAAAUGCGUAGAUAUCGAGAGAACACCUGCGGCGAAGGCGGGUUGCUGGGCUGAUACUGACGCUGAUGCGCGAAAGCCAGGGAGCGAAGCGGG